UUUUUCUUUUCUGUGGUAUUGUUUGUAUCCAAUAAACCAACCUGGCAAAUAAAAUUGCUGGGUAGAGGGGCAGCUUGAUGUCACUGCCCUUUUGUUCAAAUGGGGUAUAUAGGAAACAGAAAGACUUGUUUAUGAUUGUGCAACAGGGCUUUUCUCCACAAGAGAUAGAUGUGUGUCAGGGCCUUUCACAGAGUUGGUUUUAUUAAUUGUUUGCAUCGUAAAUAUUGGCAUUCUGGGGACCUCAGUAAUGAGCCUGUUGGCUCACUUUCAUGGACAAUUGUUCAACAUUUUCUACCACAACAAAAAGAAAAAAAAGAAAGAAAAAACAACCUACAGUGUAGGAUUUACAUAUUAAAGACACAUUUGUCUAAAACAUACUCUACAGUUAAAAAAGAGAGAGAGACAGAAAGAGCACAAAAAUCUUUUCUCUCCAAGACAAUCUGUUUGUAACAAGAGACUGUUAAUCUUUAAAAGAAAAAGAAACUGAUGGAGAAAAAUUGUGCUUCAAUAGACUUUCUAUAUUGAGGUAAUAGAUCUUUUCUUCACUAGAGAAAAAUAACCUUUAGCUGACAUGAACCAGUAACUUCUUUAAAAAAAAAAAAAAAAAAAAAAUUGUUCUCUCUUCCCUCCCAUACUUUAAUGACCACACUAAAGAACACUUUAAGAAAAAAAAAAAAAAGAUAGGGUCACUAUUUGGUGGACAUUUCAGUGUGAACUAUAGAAUUUUGAAAUUAAAUCAGUUAGUCCAUCACCCCCAAUUUACAAAUGAUGAAAAUAAGGCCCACACAAUCUGCAUGCUAUUUAUAAUUCACACUUUUUUUUUUUGCCUCAUUUAGCCAACACUGAAAAAAAUACAAAAGUUCCCAUACAUAGUAGUUUUUAUUAAGUAAUAUUGCUAUAGGCCAAAGGUCAUAGGUUAGGAUGGACAAAACCACUUAUAAGAAAGAAAUUCAAGCACAAACCCAAUAUUGAAGGUCUUGUUGGAAGGGAAAAAAUAAUCUGAUGUUUCAUGUUUUAAGAGUAUUUUUGCAAUGCAUAUGAUUAUUAUAUAUUGAGUUUCCUAGCUUCUGGAAUCUUCAUCUCUAAAGACAUUGUAAAUAUAUUAAUUUCAUUUUAAAAAUUAAAUUGGGAUUUAUCUAAAGAUUUUGUCCUCUGAUUUCCUCCCUCUCCCAUCCUCCACUCCUGCUACACUUCAGUUACAAUGUGAUACUCUUCAUCAUUUGGCUUGAUGGGCCUUUUCUUUCCAUAUAGUGAAUAUUUUUGGCUUAUCACUUUUGUAGCAAAUCCCUUCUAAGCAGGUAAGGUAAUUUCAUUCUGAAGUCCACCAUCCUUUUUAGUGGAAAGAUAUGUUUCACCACUUGGGUGCUACCCUACAAGAAGCCAAAGUUUGAAUCUAAAUGGAAUUUUAGAUUAAGUGGAAAUUAUAAAAGUAUUGCUAAAGGAAACUCAC
RNAcentral lists this long non-coding RNA (1450 nucleotides) under Sarcophilus harrisii (Tasmanian devil). RNAcentral's name for it is "lncRNA (ENSSHAG00000028671.1)". The record is from RNAcentral. Lineage: Eukaryota; Metazoa; Chordata; Mammalia; Dasyuromorphia; Dasyuridae.